AAGCUGGGAUCAAGGGUCGGAGACGUCUUCUCUUCGAGUCUCCUGGGGCAGUCCAGAGGCUGCCACAACGUGGGCCGCGGCCUGGGUCCCUGCCGUGGGGGCCCCCAUUAGUUCAGGCCAUGCCCGCGGCCGCCGCCCCCAUUAUCAGCUCGGUUCAGAAACUGGUCCUGUACGAGACUAGAGCUAGAUACUUUCUAGUUGGGAGCAAUCAUGCAGAAACAAAAUAUCGUGUUUUGAAAAUUGAUAGAACAGAACCAAAAGAUUUGGUAAUAAUUGAUGAUAGGCAUGUAUAUACUCAGCAAGAAGUGCGAGAACUUCUUGGCCGCUUGGAUCUAGGAAAUAGGACAAAGAUGGGACAGAAAGGAUCAUCUGGGUUAUUUCGAGCUGUUUCAGCUUUUGGUGUUGUAGGUUUUGUCAGGUUUUUAGAAGGCUAUUAUAUUGUGUUAAUAACCAAAAGGAGGAAGAUGGCAGAUAUUGGAGGUCAUGCAAUAUAUAAGAUUGAAGAUACAAAUAUGAUCUAUAUACCCAAUGAUUCUGUACGGAUUACUCAUCCUGAUGAAGCUAGGUAUCUACGAAUAUUUCAAAAUGUGGACCUGUCCAGCAAUUUUUACUUUAGUUACAGCUAUGAUUUGUCCCACUCACUUCAAUAUAAUCUCACUGUCUUGCGUAUGCCCCUGGAGAUGUUAAAGUCAGAAACGACCCAGACUCGCCAGGAGAGUUUCGACAUCUUUGAAGAUGAAGGGUUAAUUACACAGGGUGGAAGCGGUGUAUUUGGGAUCUGUAGUGAGCCUUAUAUGAAGUAUGUGUGGAACGGCGAACUUCUGGAUAUAAUUAAAAAUACUGUCCAUCGUGACUGGCUGCUGUAUAUUAUUCAUGGGUUCUGUGGGCAGUCAAAGCUGUUGAUCUAUGGACGACCUGUGUAUGUCACUUUAAUAGCUAGAAGAUCCAGUAAGUUUGCUGGGACCCGUUUUCUCAAGAGAGGUGCAAACUGUGAGGGUGAUGUUGCAAAUGAAGUGGAAACUGAACAAAUACUCUGCGACGCUUCUGUCAUGUCUUUUACUGCAGGAAGUUAUUCUUCUUAUGUGCAAGUUAGAGGAUCAGUUCCCUUAUACUGGUCUCAGGACAUUUCAACUAUGAUGCCUAAGCCACCUAUUACAUUGGAUCAGGCAGAUCCAUUUGCCCAUGUGGCUGCCCUUCACUUUGACCAGAUGCUUCAGAGGUUUGGCUCCCCCAUCAUCAUCUUAAAUUUAGUGAAGGAACGAGAGAAAAGAAAGCAUGAGAGAAUUUUGAGUGAAGAACUCGUAGCUGCUGUGACCUACCUCAACCAGUUUUUGCCUCCCGAGCACACGAUUAUUUAUAUUCCUUGGGAUAUGGCCAAGUACACCAAAAGCAAGCUGUGUAAUGUUUUGGAUCGCCUGAACGUGAUUGCAGAAAGUGUGGUGAAGAAAACAGGCUUCUUUGUAAACCGCCCUGAUUCAUACUGUAGCAUUUUGCGGCCAGAUGAAAAGUGGAAUGAACUAGGAGGAUGUGUGAUUUCCACUGGUCGCCUGCAGACUGGUGUUCUUCGAACCAACUGUGUGGACUGUUUGGAUCGCACCAACACAGCACAGUUUAUGGUGGGGAAAUGUGCUCUGGCUUAUCAGCUGUAUUCCUUGGGCUUAAUUGACAAACCGAAUCUACAGUUUGAUACAGAUGCAGUUAGGUUAUUUGAGGAACUCUAUGAAGAUCAUGGGGAUACCCUGUCCCUUCAGUAUGGUGGUUCCCAACUUGUUCAUCGUGUAAAAACCUACAGAAAGAUAGCACCGUGGACCCAGCACUCAAAAGACAUCAUGCAGACCCUGUCUAGAUAUUACAGCAAUGCUUUUUCAGAUGCUGAUAGACAAGAUUCCAUUAAUCUCUUCCUGGGAGUUUUCCAUCCCACUGAAGGGAAACCUCAUCUCUGGGAACUCCCGACAGAUUUUUAUUUGCAUCAUAAAAAUACCAUGAGACUUUUACCAACAAGAAGAAGUUAUACUUACUGGUGGACACCAGAGGUAAUAAAACAUUUACCACUGCCUUAUGAUGAAGUUAUCUGUGCCGCGAACUUAAAGAAGUUGAUAGUGAAGAAGUUUCACAAGUACGAAGAGGAGAUUGACAUCCACAACGAAUUUUUUCGACCAUACGAGCUGAGUAGUUUUGAUGACACCUUUUGCUUGGCUAUGACGAGUUCAGCGCGUGACUUCAUGCCUAAGACUUUUGGCAUUGAUCCAAGUCCGUUUACAGUACGUAAGCCAGAUGAAACCGGAAAAUCAGUAUUGGGAAACAAGAGCAACAGAGAAGAAGCUGUGUUACAGCGGAAAACGGCCGCCAGUGCCCCACCGCCGCCCAGCGAGGAGGCCGUGUCCAGCAGCUCUGAUGACGACUCCGGGACCGACCGGGAGGAGGAGGGCUCCGUGUCCCAGCGCUCCACACCAGUGAAGAUGACUGACACGGGCGACAGUGCCAAAGUGACGGAGAAUGUGGUCCAGCCCAUGAAAGAGGUGUAUGGAAUCAACCUCUCAGAUGGCCUCUCAGAAGAAAAUCUCUCCAUUUAUUUAAGAUUUGUGCAGCUGGGGCAGAGUCAACAUAAACAAGACAAGAGCAGCCAGCAGUUCUGUUCCAGGUGCCCAGAUGGAGUUAUAAAAUUGGGCCAAGGAUAUAAACAAAGACGGGAAUAGGAAGAAACUCUAGAGAAGUGUGGUUUCACAGAAGCCAAGAGAAGAAAAUGUUUCGAGAAGGAAGGAGUGGGCAGCAGUCUUGAAUACAGAGAAAUUAACAGGGAGUGAUAUACAGUAUGAUACUCUCUUGUGAUGCUGGCUCCCACUGGACAAAGAUGGGAAAAUUUGCACUUCAAUAAGGAUAUUAAAUACAGCAGGAUGGAACUCAUCAAAUAUGUUUAAAUCCAUGAGUUUAUGAUGAUUUUUUAAAAAUCUGGUCACCUUAGAAGGAUGAUAAGGAACUAUUGCAUUACCUGGAAAACAAAGAAUCAAGCAUAUGACUCUGAAUCAUAUGAAUUGUACCGUUGUGUAACCAAACAAGAGAUGAGGAAAAAAAUCUUUUUAAAAAAGUGUGACCAGGGCUUCCCUGGCAGUGCAGUGGUUAAGAAUCCACCUGCCAAUGCAGGGGACACGGCUUCGAGUCCUGGUCCAGGAAGAUACCACAUGCCGCAGAGCAACUAAGCCCGUGCGCCACAACUACUGAGCCUGCGUUCUAGAGCCCAUGAGCCACAACUACUGAAGCCCACGCGCCUGGAGCCCGUGCUCCGCAACUAGAGAAGCCACCGCAAUGAGAAGCCCGCACACUGCAACGAAGAGUAGCCCCCGCUCGCCACAACUAGAGAAAGCCCGCGCACAGCAACAAAGACCCAACGCAGCCAAAAAUAAAUAAAUAAAAUAAAUAUAUAUAUUUUUAAAGUGUGACAACUGAUAAAUGAAAAAAAAUAAGAUAAUUAUCAUCUGGCAAUCCCCAGUGAAUUAAUGGAUCUAGGCAUUGCAUAUCAAUGACUGUGGGCAUCAAAAAAGAGAAACAGCUAGACACUGUGGCCCUCCUGAUGACACAGCACUCCACCACCUGUGGUCUCGCCACAGCAAUUGAAGCAAAUUCUCACCAAGCCUCUGGAUCCAGUUGCUGGCUUGCAGGAAAUAUAAAGGACAGAGGAACAUUUUUGAACUGCGUCAUGAAUAUGCCAUCAGCAAAACCCAGAUGAGAGAAACUCUACAACCUGGUUUCUUCGACAAAUUAAAGGUGAAAAGCAUCGAUAGAUUGAAGCAGUUUUCCAUGAUAAAUAUUAGAACACCCAUCUCAGCUUUCUCCCAAGACAACAUCUAUGAAGUUCAGCCUCCACAAGUAGACAGAAAA
Molecule: RNA transcript, 3876 nt
Organism: Physeter macrocephalus (sperm whale)
Lineage: Eukaryota; Metazoa; Chordata; Mammalia; Artiodactyla; Physeteridae
Gene: FIG4
Gene name: FIG4 phosphoinositide 5-phosphatase
Exons: 26
Source: RefSeq, a predicted model, not a curated record